RNAcentral lists this ribosomal RNA (659 nucleotides) under uncultured bacterium. RNAcentral describes it as "bacterial SSU rRNA". It matches the Rfam family "Bacterial small subunit ribosomal RNA", at positions 93 to 740 of the family's 1533-position model. The record is from RNAcentral.
CAGCGGCGAACGGGUGAGUAACACGUGGGUAAUCUGCCCUCGGUUCUGGGAUAGCCCGGGGAAACCCGGAUUAAUACCGGAUAGCCUCUUGAGCCUUCGGGUUCUCGAGAAAAGGUAGCUUCGGCCUCCGACUGAGGAUGAGCCCGCGGCGGAUUAGCUUGUUGGCGGGGUAACGGCCCACCAAGGCUACGAUCCGUAGCUGGUCUGAGAGGACGAUCAGCCACACUGGGACUGAGACACGGCCCAGACUCCUACGGGAGGCAGCAGUGGGGAAUCUUGCGCAAUGGGCGAAAGCCUGACGCAGCGACGCCGCGUGCGGGAAGAAGGCCUUCGGGUUGUAAACCGUUUUCAGGGGGGACGAAGCCACUCGGGUUAAUAGCCCAGAGGGUGACGGUACCUCCAGAAGAAGCCCCGGCUAACUACGUGCCAGCAGCCGCGGUAAUACGUAGGGGGCAAGCGUUGUCCGGAUUUAUUGGGCGUAAAGAGCGUGUAGGCGGCCAGCUAGGUCUGACGUGAAAUCUCGAGGCUCAACCUCGAGCGGUCGUUGGAAACCGUCUGGCUAGAGUCCGGAAGAGGAGAGUGGAAUUCCUGGUGUAGCGGUGAAAUGCGCAGAUAUCAGGAAGAACACCCAUGGCGAAGGCAGCUCUCUGGGACGGUAC